This 253-nucleotide ribosomal RNA is filed under the name uncultured bacterium. RNAcentral describes it as "partial 16S ribosomal RNA". It matches the Rfam family "Bacterial small subunit ribosomal RNA", at positions 524 to 776 of the family's 1533-position model. The record is from RNAcentral.
UACGGAGGGUGCAAGCGUUGUCCGGAUUUAUUGGGUUUAAAGGGUGCGUAGGUGGCCGCUUAAGUCCGCUUUGAAAGCUGGUCGCUCAACGAUCAGGGGUGGGUGGAUACUGAGGGGCUUGAAUGAUGUCGAGGUUACUGGAACGGGUCGUGUAGCGGUGAAAUGCAUAGAUAUGACCCAGAACUCCGAUUGCGAAGGCAGGUGGCUAGGCAUCGAUUGACACUGAGGCACGAGAGCAUGGGGAGCAAACAGG